This 2294-nucleotide long non-coding RNA is filed under the name Canis lupus familiaris (dog). Its description in RNAcentral is "lncRNA (ENSCAFG00805012913.1, ENSCAFG00845030920.1)". The record is from RNAcentral. Lineage: Eukaryota; Metazoa; Chordata; Mammalia; Carnivora; Canidae.
UUUUUUUUUUUUUAUUGGUGUUCAAUUUACUAACAUACAGAAUAACCCCCAGUGCCCGUCACCCAUUCACUCCCACCCCCCGCCCUCCUCCCCUUCUACCACCCCUAGUUCUUUUCCCAGAGUUAGCAGUCUUUACGUUCUGUCUCCCUUUCUGAUAUUUCCCACACAUUUCUUCUCCCUUCCCUUAUUUUCCCUUUCACUAUUAUUUAUAUUCCCCAAAUGAAUGAGAACAUAUAAUGUUUGUCCUUCUCCGACUGACUUACUUCACUCAGCAUAAUACCCUCCAGUUCCAUCCACGUUGAAGCAAAUGGUGGGUAUUUGUCAUUUCUAAUAGCUGAGCAUUUUUUCAUGUGUCUGUUGGCCAUUUACAACAUAAAUUUAUUUUCUCCUAGUCUGAAAGCUGAAUUUCCAAGAUCAAGGCACCAGUAGGGUUGGCUUCAGAUGAUACCUUUCUCCUCAGCUUGAAGACAGCACUUUCUUAUCAUGUCCCUUACCUGGCCUUUCUCUGGAGAGAGUUAGGGGAAGGGGAAGAGAAGGGGGCCUCUGGUAUUUCUCACUUUUUUAUAAGGGUAUCAAUCCUAUCACUUUAGGAUCCCAUCCUUAUGAUGUCAUUUGACCUUAACCUCCUCCUUAAAGGUCCUGUCUCCAAAUAAAAUCACAUUGGGAGUUAGGGUUUCAACAUAUAAAUUUUGAGAUAAAAUAUUUCAGUGUAUAACAUUAUAUGUAGUAAACUAAAAGAACAUGUGAGGAUAACAUCUCACUGAAUCGACUAUAUUUUAUUAAUAGAAAUUAUGAGACCAAAUUAAAAUUCAAGGCUUGAAAAUGAUAGUGAUUGAUGAAAACCUCACUGGAAUUAAUAUAAGGGUAAAUCUGAGCUCGCAAGAGAAAAAAAUACUGAAUUUUAAAAGAGGUCAGUUUUGAGGUUAUCCAACCUGAAAAGCAGGAAAAAAAGUGAUGAAAAAUAAACAAACCCUAGAAACCUGUAGGAAACUAUCAAGCACACCAACAUCCACAUAAGGAAUCAUAGGAGGAGAAGAGAGUGGUAUAGAUUUAGUAUUUUAAAAAGUGGCCUAAAAUUUACCAAAUUUGAUGAUCAACAUUAAUCUAGAGCCAAGAAUUUCAAUACCAAUUUUGAUAAGCACAAAGAAAUUAAUACCUCAGCAUAUCAAAAUAAAUCUGUUGACAUAUAAAGGAAAAAAGAUUAAAAACAACCAGAGAGAUGAUUUAUCACAUUUGUUCUGAAUUGAAUUGUGUGUGCCCAAAUCAAAUUCUUCUGUUGAAGCCCUAAUUCUUACUAUGACUGAUUUUAGAAAUAAGUCCUUUAAGAAGGUAAUUCAGGUUAAAUGAGGUAUAAGGGUAGAACCCUAACAUAAGAGGACUGAUGUCAUUUUAAUCAGAGGAAGAGACACUGGAAUUCAUAAUUACAGAAGAAAGAUCAGUGAGAACCAAAGGAGAAUGCCUCCAAAUGCAAGUGAGGGAGAAAAACUUCAGGAGAAAUCCAUCCUGCUGACACCUCAAUCUUGAACUCUUAGCUUCCAGUAUUAUGAAAAAUCUUUCUGUUCUCUCAGCCACAUGAUCUGUGGUAUUUUGCUACAGCAGCCCUAAUAAGAUAACAGGACAUAGAAUUCUUAAUAUGACAAACAGCUGAAUUUUCAUCAGAAACCAUGGAUGUCAGAAAUCGGUGAGGAUACCUCAACAAAGAAGGUAUAAAGAUGGUAAAUAAGCAUAUGAAGACAUGCUCAAUGCCACUGGCCAUUGGGGAGUAGUAAAUUAAGUAGGAGAUAACAUUAUAUUCUGUUAGAAUAGCUGAUUUUAUUUAAAAAAAAACCUGACAACGUCAAAUGCUGGUGAGGAUGUAGAGAAGGAAGACCUUUCUUUGCUGGUAGAAAUUGAAAACGCUACAGCAAAUUUGGAAGGCCACUUGACAGUUCCUUAUGAAGCUAAGCAUAGGCUUACCAGAUGCUCCAGCAAUCACAUUGAUGGAUAUCUAUCUUACACAUUGGAAAACUUAUGCUCAUACAAAAAUCUGCAUGCAAAUUCUGAUAGAAGUUUUUUUCAUGAUCUCCAAAACUAGAAGAAAUUACACUGUCUUUCAUAAGUGAACAAGUAAAAAUAUGGUGGUAAAUCCAUACAAUGAUAUCCUAUUGAACAAUAAAAAGAACUAGCUGCCAAGCCAUGCAAAAACAUGUAUGAAUGAAUCUUAAAUUCUUAUGGCUACAUCAUGAAGGCCAAUAUAAAAAGGCCAUAUGUGGCCUGAGGCUUGUAUAUGAUCUUCUUCAAAAGGUUAAACUAUA